UUGCAUAAGCCUACAUUACCUUGUGCUAAAUUUUUAUCAAAUAAAUAAGAAUUUUGAGACUCGAACUCAUAACCAUUUAGUCAUCAUAACUUUGAUAUAUGUUAAAAAACCAUCUUAAUUCAAUAACUUAAACUAUUAGGUGAGAUCUCAAAGUAUGAUUCAUACUAUUAUCUAACCAGAGCAAACUAUACAAGCCCAAAGUUGGAGUCUAGAAUCACAGUUCAAACAACCUUCUCUUCAAGUUCCAUUCCUCGAGGAAAAAAAAAUAAAAAACAACCAAGCCUGACAUUUAACCUGACAACAAAAAUCCCAUCUCCAGCCUUCUUUUAAGAAAUACCCUUACAUACCCAUUCCUGUCACAAAUCUAAUGCAUAUAUUAGAAUAGCACUUCGGAUACAGUUAAUUUUCUGACAAACAGAACCAACUCUAUCUUGUAACCAAGCAGAUCCCGAACUUCUAGCUAUUUAAGCAAGGGAUAAAAUGGCUGAAGGUUCAGUGAACUUUCUCCUCUCGAAGCUUGCUCAAAUUCUCGAAGAAGAGGGCCAGCUUUUGACAGGGGUUCGGACAGAAGCUGAGUAUAUCAGUUCCAUCGGUGGUGUCUUGGCAGCAAAAGACAAGAAUAAAAUAAAAUAGACGAAUGGGAAAUGGUCCAUCGUAGCCUUGGUGCUGGAUUUGAAAACAACGACACACUGAUGAAUACGAGAAAAAUACUGUCACUGAGUUACAAUGAUUUGCCUUACUAUCUCAAAUCUUGCUUGUUGUAUUUCAGCAUCUUCCCUGCAGGUAAUCCAAUUAAGCGGAUGAAACUUAUUCGGCUAUGGAUAGCUGAAGGAUUUGUGGAAGGAAAGGAAGGAAUGACAUUAGAGGAAGUUGCAGAAGACUACCUGAAUGAGCUCAUAAAAAGAAGCUUGGUUCGUGUAGUAAAGGCAGCCAGUGAUGGACGCGUCAAAACAUGCCGCAUCCAUGACCUUCUGCGCGAGAUUAUGAUUACAAAGGCAAAAGACCAAGACUUUGUAGCAAUAGCCAAGGAAGAAGGCAUGGUGUUGUCUGAAAAAGUCCGUCGGGUGUCAUUACAUAAAGCCGUGCCAAGCAUACAACGAAGACAUGUUGCCUCUCGACUUCGUUCAGUGCUCAUAUUUUGGGGGGCAGAUUCUUGUCCUGAUUCUCCUGCGCCUAAUUUGUCGUUCGGUCACCUGAGGUUGCUUAAUGUGUUAGAUCUGGAAGGAGCACCUCUGAAGGAAUUCCCCAGCAAAGUUUCCAGCCUCUUCCUCUUAAAGUAUCUAAGUUUGAGGAACACCAAUGUCAAUUCCAUUCCAAGCUCCAUUAGCAAGCUUCUGAAUCUGGAAACGUUGGAUCUAAAACAUACUCAAAUCUCUGAAUUGCCUGUUGGGAUUCUGAAGCUCAGAAAACUUCGCCACCUUUUGGUGUAUCGUUAUGAAAUUGAUUGUGAUGACAGGAUUCACAUCAAAUAUGGUUUCCAACCACCACCUCAAAUCGGAAGUCUACAAUCCUUACAAAAACUCUGCUUUGUAGAGGCAAAUCAAGGCGGUGAUCUUCUGCUUGAACUGGGAAGGUUGAAUCAGUUGAGACGGUUAGGCAUUGUAAGGUUCAGGAAGGAACAUGGGAAGGCUCUAUGUUCUUCUGUUACAAAGCUGACAGACCUUCGUGCCUUAUCCAUUUCUUCAAUCACAGACAGUGAAUUUAUUGAUUUGGAGUACUUAUCAUCUCCUCCUCGAUUUCUUCAGCGAGUGUACCUGACAGGACGGUUACAGAGUUUACCAGAGUGGUUGCAUUAUUCGGAUAGCUUGGUCAAGUUGGUUUUAAAAUGGAGUCGGUUAAGUGAUGAUCCACUGCUAUCUCUUCAGCAUCUGCCCAAUCUAGUACACCUCAAGCUUAUACAGGCUUACAAUGGGGAGAUGCUGUGUUUCCAAGCUAAGGGAUUUCAACGGCUCAGGUUCCUGAGCAUAAAUAAAUUAGAGAGUCUCAGAGUGAUAACUGUUCAACAAGGAGCAAUGCCUUGUCUUGAAAAGCUGAUCGUCCAAAGCUGCAAGGAAUUGAAAACGGUGCCAUCAGGUAUUGAACACCUGACCACGCUGAAGGUAUUGGAAUUUUUCAAUAUGCCAAAAGAACUCAUCAUGACGUUGCAACCCAGUGAAGAGAAUGGGGAUGAUUUGAAGGUUGAGCAUGUUCCUGAUGUUUACUCACCUACUGGAACAACGGUAUAUUGGAUAACUUCACUUUAUUCACCAAAGAGGAUGGAAGUUCUGCCCUGCCUAGCCCUAGCGGUAGCAGGCGACUAUAUUUGGAAAUAACAUGUUUUGAUUUGUUAUAAAGUAUUUUUAAUUUAUCUCUGUGAUUGUAAAUUAACCAUGAAUAAGCUUAUCUCUGAUUUUGUCUCCCUUCCCUUCGUUCUCUGUUGUGUUCUCUUAAUUUGGUGUACGGUGUGCUGUGUAAACUGUGAAUAUUUCUCGUUAAUAUUCAAAUAAUCUGUGUCGAUGGAGGAGUGUGGAGCUAGGGUUGAUUUUUCUACAAGGCUGCUAUAUAUCAUAUAUAAGAAUGUUUGGAUGAGAGGUAGAUUGUGUUUUUUUUAUAUAGUAAAAACAUGUUUUUAUAGUUUUUGAAGGUGUGAUUUGUGCUUAAAAUGUAUUGUAUCUUUGAAAAAAAACCACCACACUUCCAAGCGAAACACCCUCAAAAAGCUUUCUGACUUCAGUUUUUGAAAUAGUCUUUACCGAGCUUUUUAUAGCAUACGCAUCUCGCAACAAAAAUGCUAUUUAGAAGAGUUAAAUUGAUAAUACAAAUUUUUAAAUAGUUUAAAUAUAAUUUUUUUGUUUAUAUAUACUCUAUGGUAAAAAAAACUCAUUUAAAAAAGUUAAUACUAUUUAUUAAUUAUAACGAACUAAUACAACUUCAAUCAAAAACCUUUUUAUUAAAAAUAAAUUUAUUUUUAAUUUUUUUGAUUGAUAUAUAAAAAUAGUUUUUCAUGUAAAAAUAAUAUUAUUUUGACUCUCCAAUAUAGUUUUUUCAUUGAAGCUGUAAAAAUAAGAUAUGAAAGUCCAUUUAAUAUAUCCAUUGGAUCCAAUGCCCUAUUGAGGAGGCCCAUAGGCCAAUGAGAAUCACUGGCUUUAAGCCUUUAAGAUACAAAACAGUCAGCAUGGUACAAAUCAAUAAGGGUUGCAACCAAUUGCCCCAUUCCCCUUCUCUUAAGGGAGUAAUGUUUCUUGUUUCAAUUUGUAUCCAACACUUAUAGCUUGUCAUUAAGAUUUAUACAAAUAAAAUCUACAUGUAAAAUUAUAUUCCAGAAAGAUAUAAAGAACCCAUAAUCAAUAAAAGCAUAACAAAAAAAAAUACUCUAAGUCAUUUGAUGCACGUGAAAGCUAUGUAGGACAACAAUAACACAAAAAUCAUUAAAAAAAAACACGGAAGGUUUAAUGAUAAAAAAAAUAUUACAAACGUGACCCUGAAUUCACAAUUUUAUUUUCUGAAAAAUUAAGUAUAUGGUAACUGUCUUUUUAAGAGGUUCACAAGAGCUCUUAAAAAACUCUACCUCUUUAGAAAUAACUAGGAAUAUAAAAAUAUAAAAGGAAUAAAUAAAGAAAGAAAUAUGAAUUAAAAUAUGGAAUCUGAAAAACUAUAGAAAAAAUAAUAAAAUCGGAGCAUCAAGGCUCUAAAUUUAAAUGACUUAUAUAUAUGAUCGAUAUUUAACCCAACAUUUUUUUUUUUUUGGAUUAGGACUUUUAAUUCGUAAGUUAUCACGUAAGGAAGCUUGUGCAUGAUCCAAUUAAGGUGAAUCAUCAGCUGCAUAUCUCUCCAACUUGAUAAAAACAUCUCAUAGAUUCCCCCGUCUCAAGAUUUAUUAGGGAUGAUUGUAAAUUUCUCAGUUUCUUAAUAAGAAGUGUUAGGGAAAACAUUGAUUUGUUUAAAAAUUCUUCAAAAAAGUAUUUAUCAUGAUUUUAACAAUUAGAUGCUUAACUUUGAAGAGUGAAAAUUAUUAUUAUAAAAUAGUUUAAAUCUAUAAUAAUUUUCACUUAAAAAAAUAUGAAAAGUGCUUUUUUCUUUUAGAUAAAAGAAAGCUUAUUUUAUUUAAAAACAAAAACUAUCUUAGAUAUUUUAAAUUUAACUAACUUCAUUUUGUUGUUUUAUACAUAAUAAUUACCCAAUAUUUAGUUACAUAAUUAAUAACCUUACAUGUUUUAAAAUUAACCAACCUUGAUUAUUUUAUUUCAAGUAUAUUAGAUUUUACCUUGUCUAGAUUUUAAUUAAAUUAUUUAGUAGUUCUAUUUACUAAAAUAAUUUAUAUAAUGUUUGAUAUUAUUUUUUAUUUACAUUUUGUUAUGAUAUUUGUGUGGUUUUUUUAAAAAAUAUUUCUUAAGCAAUUUAUUUAGUUUCUUAAUUUUUUUUUAUUUUUUAAAGAAAUUGUUUGAUUUAAAUUAUAAGUUUAAUAACAAUUUUACUAGCAUGGUAAUUAAUUAUCAAAUAGUUUGAUGUAUAUAAUUUCAUAGUAUAGCACCACAUAACAUGGUAUAAUAGAUAUGAUUGGAGGCAAAAAGACACUUGAACCUUAAAAGAGGUUGUAACAAGAGGAAUUUUUUAAAAAAUUCCUUUAAAUACCCUAGGUUGACGUGGAAGGUGCAUCCUCAAAAUCAACCAAGAAAAAUACUUAAUUUCCUAUUGAUAAAAAAAAAAUGUCAUGAUAAUAUUAUUAUGAAAAUAUUUUAUAGAACACAUAUAUAAUUAAGAUUUAGAAAAAAAAGGGAGUGGAAAAAAAAUAUUAUUCAAUCUUAUUCAUUAUACAAUAGUAAUUCAUGAUGUUUUUUUUUCUUUUUGUAUUUUAUUUGGUUAUUGAAUUUUAUUUUUUUUAAUUAAGUUUUUGGAUUGUGUGUUUUUUUUUUGGGGAUUGAAGUGGGGAUUGAAUCAUAUAUUGUUUUUCAUCAUAUAGCUAAAAACAUUGUUUUGGAAAAAAAAAUUUAUUAUUAAACUUUAUGGAGUCCAUUAACUGGUUUAUGAGUUUAACGAAUUAACCUGGGUUGAUCCGAUUCAUGGGUUUAGCUGGUUAAAAAAAAUUAUUAUUUUUUUUGCAAUUUCAUCAUUCAAAAUUAGAUUGAUUGAGAAUUAUGCUUCGUGAUUUUUUGUUCAAUUUCUAUAAGGUCAUCGCGGUCUUAGACAAACAUCGCAGUAUUGGGUUGGCGCUUGAUUUUGUGAUUAUCUAUUUUUGUUAUCAAGUAGUUAAAUAAAGAAUAUUUUUGGGGAAAAAUCAAGUUAUUGAUCCUAGUAAAGUCUAUAACCUGGUUCGUAGGUUUGACGGGUUGAACCAUGUGACCUAGUUCACGGGUUGAACCAUGCGACGAAAUCAAGUUAGUAUUUGAUUAUAUAUGGUGAAAAUUACGUGUUGUAUAAGUAUUUAUUAUUUUAAUGUACUAAUAAAUGUGUAAAGAUACGUUAUUUUAAUGUAGUUCUUCAAACUGUAUGUUGUUUUCAGGUACCUCACAUACUUGUCCGGAGUUGUAGCCUAUUGUUGUUUCUAGCUCUACUUUAGGCUAGUUUUAUAUGUAUGCAUGCUCAUGUCUAUUGUUGUUUAGCGUCAUUGUUGUAUGAAUAUGACUCAUCAAAAUUAUAUAUUAUGCUUGAUGGAACAUGGAAAUGAUGGGUAGGCCUGAGACACGUACCGAUGGGUUUAUUUAACAUGAAAUGAAUAAUACAUGACGUGAUUAUAUGAUUGAGAUUUCAAUGCAUAUAUAUAUUUUUUUUGUCGUUACAACUUUGUUUUUUUAUAGAUUUCAAACAUAGAUAAAAAAGGCUCGAGAGUUUUUAAAAGAGCUUCUUUAUCUGAAAAGCUUGUAUUUAAAAAACUUUAUAUUUUUAAUAAGAAUUUAUUUUUGUCCCUUAUGGAUAGGGAGAAACUAUUUAUUUAUAGAGAUUUGUAGAGGCGUUCAAGUUUUUUUGUCAAUGUCAUAUGAUAUUAUUUUAUUAAUUGAUUUUUAUUUAUGAGAUAUUGUAUUUAUGAUAAAUUAUUUUAAAUAUCUCAUCUCAUGUGUCCACUUUCCAUUGACAAAUAAAUAUAUAAAUGUUUAUUUAUUUUUUAUUUUUUUAUUUUUUAUGUAAACAUAAAAUAAAAAUGAUAUAUGACAAAUUUUAAUUUUUUAAUUUUUUUUAUUCUUUCUAUAGCUUUAUAUAUUUGUUAUUUCAGUCUUAACAAAAACAUCUCUAAAUUGAGUUGGUGCUUGAUUUUGUAAUUAUUUAUUUUUUUUAUCAUGUAAUUAAAUAAAAUUAUUAAAUUCAAUAUAAUUUAUAACAUGAGUUAAAGGAAAUUGAAUUCAAAUUAAAAUGUUGUUGUCUAAAUAACCUUGAACAAUAUAAGCAAAGUAGACACGAAAGCUCGAGGACAAUAAUCCUAUAGGUAGCAGCAAAAAUCUCUCUUUUUUUCUUAACAAAGAAGCAACUAAACAUGGGUCUAGCCAAAUUGAUAAAUAGGUAACAGGAUGCCGGGUCAUGACCGGGGCUUGUAGGAAAGCAACAGAAAGAGCUGCCAUCUGCAAAAAUGCGAUUUUUUAGGGGAGGGCUCCUGAGUUUCAUGCUUUAUGCUUGUUGGGCGACGAUUAUAAGAUAAGUCUCAAGUUUGAAUCCUAGUGUCCACAUAAAAUUAAAAAAAAACUUUUAUUUAUUUAUUUAUUAACGUGGGUGUUUGGGACAGCUUGUGUGCAUCUUGACUAAUCUCACGGACCCUAAAGUUAACGACCAUUUAAGCCUCCAGUUACCCUGAGGUUUGUGAGACUCGAACUAGUGACCUCUAAGAAGCAAACCUAGAGCCUGACUAGUUGAGUUACACCCCUCAGAAUUAACAAAAAAAAAAAAAAACUCUUGGGGUUGCAGUAAGGGCCUGUUUGGAAUUGGGGUAGCGGUAGCGGUUGCGGUUGCAGUUCAAGGUAUUUUUUGCAUAGAAAUGCAUUAAAAUAAUAUAUUUUUUUAUUUUUUAAAAAUAAUUUUUAAAGUCAGCAUAUCAAAACAAUAUGAAAACAUAAAAAGUAAUAAUUUUUAGCAAACUUUUUUAAAUUUUUUUUAAGGAAAUACUGUUGUAACAGCGUUUCCAAACAGACUCUUAAUCUGAUGCGCAAAAUCGAAGUGAUACCUUGUGUCUUCAAAAAAAUAAAAUAAAAAUUAAUAUAUCUAUACACAUACAAGUUGCUGUAAAAAUCAACAAUAACACAGGUUAUGUACUUGAUGAUUAAUACGUAUUACUACUACAUGCCAUGAAAGUUUAAAUUUACUUUUUAGGACUAAAAUCCCCUUGAAAAUUAGAGUUGCAUAGAUAUUUAUUUCAUCGUAAUUAAGGAGACAUUGGUUCUUAACAACUUGUCAAAUUAACCGUCAAUCCGAAAGGUGUCAUCCGCCGGUAAGAUCAAACUAUUAUCUUCAAAUGGUAACAUACUGCCGGGCAAUUCCAACAAUUGAGAUUAGUCAAUCUUUAUUUCCAGAGAAAGCAUGAACGGAUUUGUCAUCUCAUAACCUAAACCUAAACUGCUUGGUAAGUUUGGCAAAAUUCAAGUUAAAGAAAGGGAAAUAGAAUGAAACUUCUUGACGAUGUCAAAUGGCGCCGUUCUUGCAUGAAUAUUUGUCCCGUAAUUUCGCAAUAAGUGGAACUUGGUAAUAGCAGAGUUCAUAAUUUGUUGUUAAUACUUGUUAAUGCUCGGCAUUGUCUUGGUGGUGAUGAGUGAUGACGAGGACGUUUCCAUGGUCAAAAUGUACAUUGAAUAUGGGGUAACACCUGGUUAUUGAUUAGUGAACAGAGUGUCAUAUCAAUGACGAGGUAGCCAUCAGCUUACGGGUUUUUUUUUUAAAAAAAGAAUAUUGUUAUUUGUAGCUUUCGAGAGUUUCAAUUUAUAUUUAAAAAUCUUACUUGCUGAUAAGGAGAAAAAGGACGUUGUAGCUUGUUCGAGUGGAUGUGUUUUCAUAUCUGCAAUUUCCUAGAAGAAAUACUGAACUUUUCAACCUCGCGAACGGAACUAUUCAGGUGGUAUUUCCUCGAAGUAAGUACUUGGAAUAGGUAAUGGGUUAUCUCGGAUUGACCAACUAGUUUUGCAGGUCAAGUAAGUCACUGAAAACAUGGCUUGGUUAAUCAGGUUUUACCACCUCAACGUCUUGUUUGGCUCAGCUCGACUAGAAAUCUGGUUUGAGUCGGGCUUUGAGUUUCAGUUUUUCGGUUCAGGCUCCAGGUCAUGAGUUUCUCGAGUCUCUCUGUUAGAUCGGGUUAAGUUUAAGAACAUAGUUUUUCAUCCCUUUCUAAUAAAAAGGAAAAGAAAACAAAUUAGGCUUCGUAGGUGCCUCAUCAUUCAUGAAAAUGAUCCUUGGAAUUACAAUUUUGACAGCAGCCCAUGAAGCUUUCCACGAAAGGGAAAAGUAGCUGUUUGGAACUUUCAGCGAGUGAGAGAUCAUCAAUCAUUUAACUCUCCUGCGCAAGUAAUUUAAGCUUUCUGGACUCUAAGUGGUAGAAAUGGCCACAUACAUUUGAGGCUGGCAUAACUUUAAGCCAAAUUGGAGAAUUUCAUGGAAUUUACAAUUUUUGGAAGAGACAAUAAAAAACUACAGAUCUAUAUUCCUGCUUACGAAAAUUCUGAGUAAACUAUGCUCUCAAGCAAAUAAGUGACUGGAUGGUGUGUAGAUAACUGAUCACCAGGGAUCUUGAAUAUUUCCUAUGACAACCAUGGCUAGUUGACCUAAUGCGAGAAAAAACUAUAUAAGCCCAAAGUUGGAGUCUCAGAAUCACAGUUCAAACAACCUUCUCUUCAAGUUCCAUUCCUUGAGGGGAAAAAAAAAAAACACAACCAAGCCUGACAUUUAACCUGAACCCUGAACAAAACCAGCUGCUUCUAAAUUCUUAGUGUCCUGACACAUACAACAAAAAUCCCAUCUCCAGCCUUCUUUUAAGAAAUACCCUGACAU
This 8937-nucleotide long non-coding RNA is filed under the name Populus trichocarpa (black cottonwood). RNAcentral's name for it is "long non-coding RNA (PTRI_LNC000942)". The record is from RNAcentral. Lineage: Eukaryota; Viridiplantae; Streptophyta; Magnoliopsida; Malpighiales; Salicaceae.